UUUCCUCGAAAACCACGCAAUGCUUUCACGUCAAAAUUCGUCACUACGUUCAGCAAGCAAGACUGACCAACCCCGGGAAAUUUCGUGUAAUGACGUGACACCGUUCAAAUGUUAUCCCGCAAACCUCUUUUUGAGAGCUGUAAGUAAAAUCCUUCCUGCGGUAGUUUUUUUGUGAUAAAUAGUUGUAUUUUUUGUUUCAUGCUAUAAUAAUAUGACUAUACAACAGAUGAAUUAGUACUUAAACCUGUGAUAAAGUGUGCAGUGUCAGAGUUCUGAAGUUUAGAGGUAAAAAAGAUUUAAGCGUCAGUAGUCGCUGUCGGGAUGAUUGAAACACUUGUUUCAAUCGUCCCGCACAUCACCAUGCGUAAUUGCGCGCACAUUGCACGAUCAAUACCUGUAUAAAUUACAGAAUUAAUAAAUGUUUUGCAAUGAUUAACUACUGCUUUGAAUUAAUAACAUAUUUUGAAUGAACAAAACGUGUUUAUCACUUGCAUCAACAGUUUACUGAGAGAAAAAUGCCACACGUCAGAAGGAGAACCACCUCCCGUGGGCUAGUUCCUGCAUGGAACAACAUCAUGUCGCGUUGUCACGCUACCUCAAGGGGAGGGCAGAGGAGGGCAGUGAAGCCAUUUAUUUUGGGCUCACCCCUAAUGAGCUGCCCAUUCCCUGCAUCCUGGUCGAGGAAGGACUGGAUCACCUCCUUCAUGGAGCGCAGUAGCAGCCUCCCCCUUCGGCGUCCAGAGGCCACUAGCCAACAACGGUUGUCCAGCUUCAAUCAAAACAAUGUCAACUUGUUCUACCAAAAUUGAAAGACGGUGCUGGACCGGCACCAGUUCCAGGCCAAGGAUAUUUGGAACAUUAAUGAAACCGGGGUCACCACUGUCCAGGUGCCAGACCGUGUCGUCGCCCAGAUGGGGCAGAAGCAGGUCGGGUCAGUGACCUCAGCGGAGAGGUCCUUGAAUGCAAUGCGCAGGGCGACCUUGUUCCGCCAUUCUUUAUCUUCCCCCGUAAGCGGUUCGAAGACCACUUCCUGAGGGGUGGACCCGUUGGCUGUGCUGGCACCGCCAACCCAACUGGCUGGAGGAAGGAGCCAGACUUCCUCCUGUACCUGGCCCACUUCACCAGUCAAACCCGUGUCCAAGGAGUCGAAGCUGCUCCGCCUGCUGGACAAUCACCCGUCCCACCUGUCAAUUGCAGCAAUCGAUUACUGCAGAGCCAACGGCAUAGUGCUGCUGUCA
Molecule: long non-coding RNA, 1238 nt
Organism: Gadus chalcogrammus (walleye pollock)
Lineage: Eukaryota; Metazoa; Chordata; Actinopteri; Gadiformes; Gadidae
Exons: 3
Source: RefSeq, a predicted model, not a curated record